GUCGAGCGCCUAUCUUCGGGUAGGAGCGGCGAACGGGUGAGUAACACGUAGGUCACGUACCCUAUGGUGGGGAAUACCCCGGGGAAACUCGGAUCAAUGCCCCAUAUGCCCGCAAGGGUGAAAGCGCUUCGGCGCGCCAGAGGAUCGGCCUGCGGCCCAUUAUUUAGUCCUAGUUGGUGAGGUAACGGCUCACCAAGGGUACGAUGGGUAGCUGGUCUGAGAGGACGAUCAGCCACACUGGAACUGAGACACGGUCCAGACUCCUACGGGAGGCAGCAGUGGGGAAUAUUGGACAAUGGGCGAAAGCCUGAUCCAGCCAUGCCGCGUGAGUGAUGAAGGCCUUCGGGUUGUAAAGCUCUGUCGUGGGGGAAGAAGUACUGACGGUACCCCACAAGAAAGCACCGGCUAACUCCGUGCCAGCAGCCGCGGUAAUACGGAGGGUGCAAGCGUUGCUCGGAUUUACUGGGCGUAAAGCGCACGCAGGCGGUCCGCAAGGUCGGGUGUG
This 505-nucleotide ribosomal RNA is filed under the name uncultured bacterium. RNAcentral describes it as "bacterial SSU rRNA". It matches the Rfam family "Bacterial small subunit ribosomal RNA", at positions 61 to 596 of the family's 1533-position model. The record is from RNAcentral.